GAGUUUCACUCUAUCCCCAGUGCAUGGGCAGUACAUAAACAUCUGACGCUCCAACUGACUGUCACUUUUAGCUUACUUCUCUGGAUGCUUUGACGGUUCCAGUGUUUCCA
Long non-coding RNA from Nothoprocta perdicaria, 110 nucleotides. RefSeq lists it as uncharacterized. The transcript has 2 exons. NCBI's taxonomy places the organism in Eukaryota, Metazoa, Chordata, Aves, Tinamiformes, Tinamidae. The record is from RefSeq and is a predicted model, not a curated record.